UAAGUUUGUAAUUUUCUUGAAAACAAACCGACUGUUAGCUGGACUUGCUGUAGUUGUCUGUUAGUUGCCAAGUACCUAACUAAUAGUCCACACUGAAAUCACAUUGGUAAUUGAUACAAUGUGCCCUACUGCUGGAUAAAUUGUUUUAAAGUAAACAACAAUAGUCUAUAAAAUACAAUGUGCCCAGACCUUAGUGCCUAACCCGAUGUUAAAUUUAGGUUUCAUGUCUUAGAUUUGAUGUAAAGAGGACUUUGUGUAUCUUCAUUUGCUAGAUCUGUUACUGCUUCUCUUCCUUUCUUCCAAAUCCAGCCUCUGCUAAUUGAACCAUUCAGAUUUAAUGGAGGGGGAAAUUACCAUGGUCGUUGGAGGUCAUAGAUCAAGGAGAAAAUGGCGAACAACAAAAGAAAUUCUCGAUCUGUAGAGGCCAUAUCUUCCUAUUGGAUUUGCUGUCUUCCUGGAUCUGUUGUUUUUGUACAUUCCUAAUAUCAACGAGGAUAUGAAGUGCCUGGGAUUGGACACAAAUCGGCUAUCUUAUAGUACUUGGAGCAUUUUGGUAUUUUUUUUCCAUUCAACAAGAGACGCUUCUUGCUUGGAAUGUGGAAACCUAGUACUUGUGACAGUCACAACAAUGUCCUCAGAAAUAUUACGCUUCUAUAUGGUGCCAAUGCUUCAAAAUAUGGAUCAACAAACCAGCGUUGGAAGCAAUUUCCUGAGCAUCUUAUACGGGGCCGGUCCUAAGUCUUUCAAGACCCCUGGCGAGAAUGAUCUUGGAGCCGCUAAUUUGCAUAUUAAUAUAAGUCUUAUAAAUAGUCUUUGGUUCACAAGGCUUGUCAGAGAUCGAGUGCAAUAAGAUCUAUAUAAAUUCAUGAUUCAAAAUUUAUUGAGGAUUAACACAACUAUAUAUAAAUAAAAUAUAUAUUUCAAUGGAAGUUUCAAACUCUACUGCAAA
Molecule: long non-coding RNA, 949 nt
Organism: Rosa chinensis
Lineage: Eukaryota; Viridiplantae; Streptophyta; Magnoliopsida; Rosales; Rosaceae
Exons: 4
Source: RefSeq, a predicted model, not a curated record